Non-coding RNA from Oryctolagus cuniculus (rabbit), 2840 nucleotides. Lineage: Eukaryota; Metazoa; Chordata; Mammalia; Lagomorpha; Leporidae. The record is from RefSeq and is a predicted model, not a curated record.
UGCCGCAGCCCAGCGCGCGUCAGCGUGGGCUCCCCGGAGCGAGUCGCUAGGUAACGCGGCCGGCUCCGCAGACCCGGGGCCGGGGAAGCCCGCGCUCCGCGUCACAGUGGCGCCGCGGGGCGGGGGCGGGGGGUACACGGACCCUCCCCCAUCCGGGCCUGCAGACCGAGGCCGGCACGCGGCCCCUCCCGGGAUGCCUUAACCCGCGCGGAUCACUGCCGCCGAGGUGCCCCUCCCCUGCAGCCGCCAGCCCCUUCGUCCUGCCCAGCCGGUGCGCACUGCUCUGCGCACGGCCGGGUGGGCGACCGGCCGCCGCGCUCGCAGUCGCCGCCGCCAAGCCCCGGGUGCCGCCCGGACACGACCCGGCUGCGCGCACAGCUCGCCAGCGGCGGCCGGGGACAUGAGCAGCGCUCCCGGGGUCCAGCGCCCGGCGGCCAACCCCAGCCGGCGGCAGCCAGCGGGUCAGCGCUGCCCAGGAGAAUGAGGCAGGAGCCAGCGGCAGCUUCCUCCUCCUCCUCCUCCUCCUCCUCGCCUUCCUCCGGCUCCGGCGCCCCAGGCCCGGGCCGGGCUGUGGCUCUGCUGCGUGCCCCGCGCGCCCCCCGCCCGCCUCCGGAUGCGCUUCUCGGUUAGUCUUUCGAGGAAGAUAAAGACCUUUGCAACCAAGAUGGUGAUCACGGGUGGCAGCGACGAAGACAGAGGCCAGGAGAGGGAGAGUAAAGAGGAGAGCGUCCUGGCGAUGCUGGGGAUCAUCGGCACCAUCCUGAACCUCGUCGUGAUCAUCUUCGUCUACAUUUACACCACGCUCUGAGCGGCCCCCGCGGCCUCGGGAUGGCCAGCAGGCGGGAGCCCCGUGUGGCGCCGGGUCGGUGAGCUGCAGCGCGCGCGCCACCCGCGCAGAUGCACCUUGGAACUUGACCAAAGGUCCCGACACAGCAACCAGGUCUGCCGCGAGGAGCAGACACCAAAGCACAAUGAAUCCAACCAAACCCACUCGCACCACGAGGAACUCGGCGUCUUUGGCAGCGGGCCUGGAAGACGGCGUGGAAGACGAUGCCCAGCCUCCGACGCCGGCGGGGAGCCGAGGGCUGGAGAUGCCCACCGACCCCGGCUGCUGACCGACACCCCGCCUUCGAAACGACACAAUGAACCGGGCACGCGCGGCCCGGCCGUGGGUCCCCCUGGACAAGUGUCUCGUCGCAGCUCCACGGCCGGCUAGCGCAGAAGGCCACAGAGGCGGCCCUCCGACAGGCAUCCCAUUCAUCAGAAGCGUCUAACUAUUUGAUACCAGGGAGAUAACUUAUUUUUCUUUUUUUCAUUGGCUUGACGUGUGUAUCUGUUCCUAUCAAGGUUUAUAAAUCUAUAUUUUUAAUAAAUGUGCUCUAUUUUUUAGCAUGAACCAAAUAUUCCGAGAGACGCUCCCAGCUCCAUAGAGCUCUCCUUGGCUUCAUCUGCUUCGUCACACACUGAGUUGCUCUGCCGUUCUACCCCUCUUGUCUCAUCCUGAAUUCUCUGUCUCUCCCUCUGUCCCCGCCUCCCGCCUCCGUCCGUCCUUUGGAGGACGUUUCUCCUUAAUACCAGCCCUGGGCGUGGCCUUGGUGCAUGUUUUGAGAUUGUCCAUUGAGUGACUUUCUGUCGUUCUAUCAGCGAUACGAGAUGAUCGCGGGCAUGCAGCCCUUCGACACAGCCUCUCCCGAGAAUUCCGCACGGACAAGGCGCUGAGCGCAGAGCAGCUGGAGUGGAACGGACGGACUCCGCGGAGGAAGAGGAGCCUGGCCGUGUGCAGAGCGGGCGCCGCGCAGUCUCACCUCCUUCCCGGCAGCCCUCUGACUGCGUCCCCGUGGCCGUUCCGUUGCCGAUUUUGAUUUGAAUGGCCACGUGCCGUGAGCUAUGGGGAGACCCCAGCAGGGCUCGGCCUCAGGUGCAUAGUUCCUUCCUUAGCAGAUCUCCGGGGAUCCCCUUCCAGAGUCGCUGGGGUGUGAGUGACAAGCUCCUCACUGUGAGAGCUCACACUGGGUUGAGCGGCGAGGACGGGUGGCUUUGCAAGGGCACCAGAAGGGGAUUCAGCGGCCGCCCUAAAGGGUGGCCGCUCCUCUUACAGCCCCUCGUUUACACCCUGCCUGGCAGGGGCACUGCCCUGUUCUGAAACGGGCACUCACCGGGCAGCAGCGCCUGCCCUGCCCGUGGGCGGCAGCAGCAGCAAGAGCAGGUCCACAUGAUGGGGAGGACAUCUGUGCCCCAGCUCUCUCCCCUCCCCUAGCUCUGGCGUCUGAAAUUCCACCGUUAGAGUCAUUUCUUGGGCUCUGAGAAGGGACCAGGCUCUUUUUUUUUAAAGCAAACACACCUGCGCAUCUGGCUCUGCCCUUGACUCCUUGGAUGUCUUCCCUUCCCUGCCAGGGGAGGGCGCCACGUGCCAGGCGCGUCCCAAGUUCCUGAGGUCCUUGGGUCCUGUGGAACCCCGUGAGUGACAGGAGGGUGCAGAGAGGCCAGGACACCUCCCGAGGCCACGUGGCCGCUGAUACAGUCAGGGUUCCAACCCCCACCUGUGCGAUAGCUCCAGCCAAGGACGGGGACAAGGGGGAGUGAGAGGUGGGGAAGGCACUUGGGGGCCAGGACGCGAAGCCGAUGCAGCUGCCGAAGCCCAGCUCUGCACACCUCCUACCCCGCGCCCUGGGAACUCCGCAGACACGGGCAGACCAUCCUACGUGUGAGGACGUGGGCGAGAGGGGCUGGGGGGAAGUGUGGGGGAGCACCGGGGGAGGUGUGCUUCUUCGUGUGGUUCUGGAAAGCUGUAUGAGAAUUCCGCACAGUAAACAGCGUGAACAAUAAAGGUGCAAUGGAAA